GUUAUAGCCUUCGGCAGAUGUGAUGAUUGGGAUUGAGGAUUGCAACGGUUACCCUUCGGGGCUACCUGUCUGAUCUCUGAUCGUUGCUCUGGUGCCGUAAAGCUUGCCUACGGUUAU
RNAcentral lists this ribosomal RNA (117 nucleotides) under Glomus sp. (unid). The record is from RNAcentral. Lineage: Eukaryota; Fungi; Glomeromycota; Glomeromycetes; Glomerales; Glomeraceae.